AUGAAAGACGAUCAAUUCCUUCGAUUUCGUCUCUUCAAGGAUCGACUCAACUCCAAGAGCAACCUCUUCAAGAAGACCAUCACCCCCAACGGCCACUGCCCCAUAUGCAACGCUCCAGUUGAUGACGACCUUCACAUGUUCAUUCAGUACCCCAUAGGCAUCCAAAUUUGGGAUGCCCUAUUCCUCUUGGUGCCGCCCUCCAUCGAGCUCAUUUGGGAUACCCCCAUGUUGUCGAACCUCCACGGUGACAUUAGGUCGUCGAUUGCUCUCUCCUUGCUAUGGAAAAUUUGGGAUUCCAGAAACAUUCUUGUCUUUUGCAACGAACUCCACUCCGCAAGGACCAAUGUUAGAAAUUUAGCUAGUGACUUCACUCUUUGA
RNAcentral lists this ribosomal RNA (378 nucleotides) under Triticum aestivum (bread wheat). Its description in RNAcentral is "partial small subunit ribosomal RNA". The record is from RNAcentral. Lineage: Eukaryota; Viridiplantae; Streptophyta; Magnoliopsida; Poales; Poaceae.